RNAcentral lists this ribosomal RNA (2821 nucleotides) under Acinetobacter baumannii. RNAcentral's name for it is "bacterial LSU rRNA". It matches the Rfam family "Bacterial large subunit ribosomal RNA". Lineage: Bacteria; Pseudomonadati; Pseudomonadota; Gammaproteobacteria; Moraxellales; Moraxellaceae. The record is from RNAcentral.
GUUGUAUAGUCAAGUAAUUAAGUGCAUGUGGUGGAUGCCUUGGCAGUCAGAGGCGAUGAAAGACGUGAUAGCCUGCGAAAAGCUCCGGGGAGGCGGCAAAUAUCCUUUGAUCCGGAGAUGUCUGAAUGGGGGAACCCACCUACUUUAAGGUAGGUAUUGCAACAUGAAUACAUAGUGUUGCAAGGCGAACGAGGGGAAGUGAAACAUCUCAGUACCCUUAGGAAAAGAAAUCAAUUGAGAUUCCCUCAGUAGCGGCGAGCGAACGGGGAUCAGCCCAUUAAGUUAUGUGUGUUUUAGUGGAACGCUCUGGGAAGUGCGAACGUAGAGGGUGAUAUUCCCGUACACGAAAGGGCACACAUAAUGAUGACGAGUAGGGCGAGGCACGUGAAACCUUGUCUGAAUAUGGGGGGACCAUCCUCCAAGGCUAAAUACUCCUGACUGACCGAUAGUGAACCAGUACCGUGAGGGAAAGGCGAAAAGAACCCCUGUGAGGGGAGUGANAGGUUAACCGUAUAGGGGAGCCGUAGAGAAAUCGAGUCUUAAUAGGGCGUUUAGUUGCUGGGUAUAGACCCGAAACCAGGCGAUCUAUCCAUGAGCAGGUUGAAGGUUGGGUAACACUAACUGGAGGACCGAACCCACUGUCGUUGAAAAGCCAGGGGAUGACUUGUGGAUAGGGGUGAAAGGCUAAUCAAGCCUGGUGAUAGCUGGUUCUCCCCGAAAGCUAUUUAGGUAGCGCCUCGGACGAAUACCAUAGGGGGUAGAGCACUGUUUCGGCUAGGGGGUCAUCCCGACUUACCAAACCGAUGCAAACUCCGAAUACCUAUGAGUACUAUCCGGGAGACAGACUGCGGGUGCUAACGUCCGUAGUCAAGAGGAAAACAAUCCAGACCGCCAGCUAAGGCCCCAAAAUCAUAGUUAAGUGGGAAACGAUGUGGGAAGGCAUAGACAGCUAGGAGGUUGGCUUANGAAGCAGCCACCCUUUAAAGAAAGCGUAAUAGCUCACUAGUCGAGUCGGCCUGCGCGGAAGAUGUAACGGGGCUAAAACUAUGUGCCGAAGCUGCGGAUGUAUACUUUGUAUACGUGGUAGGGGAGCGUUCUGUAAGCCGAUGAAGGUGUGUUGAGAAGCNAUGCUGGAGGUAUCAGAAGUGCGAAUGCUGACGUGAGUAACGACAAAACGGGUGAAAAACCCGUUCGCCGAAAGACCAAGGGUUCCAGUCCAACGUUAAUCGGGGCUGGGUGAGUCGACCCCUAAGGCGAGGCCGAAAGGCGUAGUCGAUGGGAAAAUGGUUAAUAUUCCAUUACUUCUGUGUAAUGCGAUGAGAGGACGGAGAAGGCUAAAUCAGCCUGGCGUUGGUUGUCCAGGUGAAAGGAUGUAGGCAUGUAUCUUAGGCAAAUCCGGGGUACUCUAUGCUGAGAUCUGAUAGCAAGCUGUACUUGUACAGCGAAGUGGUUGAUGCCAUGCUUCCAGGAAAAGUCUCUAAGCUUCAGUUACACAGGAAUCGUACCCGAAACCGACACAGGUGGUCAGGUCGAGUAGACCAAGGCGCUUGAGAGAACUCUGCUGAAGGAACUAGGCAAAAUGGUACCGUAACUUCGGGAGAAGGUACGCUGUUGUUGGUGAUGGAACUCGCUUCCUGAGCUGACGACAGCCGCAGAAACCAGGCCGCUGCAACUGUUUAUUAAAAACAUAGCACUCUGCAAACACGAAAGUGGACGUAUAGGGUGUGAUGCCUGCCCGGUGCUGGAAGGUUAAUUGAUGGGGUUAGCGUAAGCGAAGCUCUUGAUCGAAGCCCCAGUAAACGGCGGCCGUAACUAUAACGGUCCUAAGGUAGCGAAAUUCCUUGUCGGGUAAGUUCCGACCUGCACGAAUGGCAUAAUGAUGGCGGCGCUGUCUCCAGCAGAGGCUCAGUGAAAUCGAAAUCGCUGUGAAGAUGCAGUGUACCCGCGGCUAGACGGAAAGACCCCGUGAACCUUUACUGCAGCUUGACACUGAACUUUGACCUUACUUGUGUAGGAUAGGUGGGAGGCUUUGAAGCUGGAACGCUAGUUCCAGUGGAGCCGUCCUUGAAAUACCACCCUGGUAAUGUUGAGGUUCUAACUCUGUCCCGUGAUCCGGGACGAGGACCGUGUCUGGUGGGUAGUUUGACUGGGGCGGUCUCCUCCUAAAGAGUAACGGAGGAGUACGAAGGUGCGCUCAGCGUGGUCGGAAAUCACGCGUAGAGUAUAAAGGCAAAAGCGCGCUUAACUGCGAGACCCACAAGUCGAGCAGGUACGAAAGUAGGUCUUAGUGAUCCGGUGGUUCUGUAUGGAAGGGCCAUCGCUCAACGGAUAAAAGGUACUCUGGGGAUAACAGGCUGAUACCGCCCAAGAGUUCAUAUCGACGGCGGUGUUUGGCACCUCGAUGUCGGCUCAUCUCAUCCUGGGGCUGAAGCAGGUCCCAAGGGUAUGGCUGUUCGCCAUUUAAAGAGGUACGCGAGCUGGGUUUAGAACGUCGUGAGACAGUUCGGUCCCUAUCUACCGUGGGCGCUGGAAAUUUGAGAGGAUCUGCUCCUAGUACGAGAGGACCAGAGUGGACGAACCUCUGGUGUACCGGUUGUGACGCCAGUCGCAUCGCCGGGUAGCUAUGUUCGGAAGGGAUAACCGCUGAAAGCAUCUAAGCGGGAAGCCUACCUCAAGAUAAGAUUUCCCUAGGACUUUAUGUCCUCUAAAGAGCCGUUCGAGACUAGGACGUUGAUAGGUUGGAUGUGGAAGCAUAGUGAUAUGUGAAGCUGACCAAUACUAAUUGCUCGUGAGGCUUGACUAUACAACACCCAAGCAGUUG